ACKGCUCAGUAACACGUGGAUAACCUACCCUUGGGUCGGGCAUAAACCCGGGAAACUGGGUAUAAUGCCCGAUAGAUCUGGAAGGCUGGAAUGCGUCCAGGUUCAAAGCUCCGGCGCCCAAGGAUGGGUCUGCGGCCUAUCAGGUAGUAGUGGGUGUAAUGUACCUACUAGCCGACGACGGGUACGGGUUGUGAGAGCAAGAGCCCGGAGAUGGAUUCUGAGACAUGAAUCCAGGCCCUACGGGGCGCAGCAGGCGCGAAAACUUUACAAUGCGGGAAACCGUGAUAAGGGGACACCGAGUGCCAGCAUCAUAUGCUGGCUGUCCGGGUGUGUAAAAUACACCUGUUAGCAAGGGCCGGGCAAGACCGGUGCCAGCCGCCGCGGUAACACCGGCGGCCCGAGUGGUGAUCGUGAUUAUUGGGUCUAAAGGGUCCGUAGCCGGUUUGGUCAGUCCUCCGGGAAAUCUGACGGCUUAACCGUUAGGCUUUCGGAGGAUACUGCCAGGCUUGGAACCGGGAGAGGUAAGAGGUACUACAGGGGUAGGAGUGAAAUCUUGUAAUCCCUGUGGGACCACCUGUGGCGAAGGCGUCUUACCAGAACGGGUUCGACGGUGAGGGACGAAAGCUGGGGGCACGAACCGGAUUAGAUACCCGGGUAGUCCCAGCCGUAAACGAUGCUCGCUAGGUGUCAGGCAUGGCGCGACCGUGUCUGGUGCCGCAGGGAAGCCGUGAAGCGAGCCACCUGGGAAGUACGGCCGCAAGGCUGAAACUUAAAGGAAUUGGCGGGGGAGCAC
Molecule: ribosomal RNA, 793 nt
Filed under: uncultured Methanosarcinales archaeon
Lineage: Archaea; Methanobacteriati; Methanobacteriota; Methanomicrobia; Methanosarcinales
Description: bacterial SSU rRNA
Rfam family: Archaeal small subunit ribosomal RNA
Source: RNAcentral